UGUAUUAAAGAAUUAAAUGGAUGAAAUAUGAAGUUUUAUUAAAAGAAAAAGGGGUGAAAAGAACAAAGUUUUGUCCAUCUUUGUUGAUCAUAGCUGAAAGUUAGAGAAGAGAAAGGAGAGGAGAAAGCUCUUGAGUAUUCGGUCAUUAGGAGGAGGAAAAUUGAAGGUGGUUCGUGUGUGGAUCUCGUCAGCAUAUCGUCGCAAACAGGUAAUCCCCAACCAUAGUGGGCUUGGAGCUGUGAGGGAAUUCGGAGUGGCCACCCGUUCUGAAAGUUUGAUUUUCUUCUAGUGAACUGGACAUCCUUUUAUUUACGUUUGAAGUUUUGGGUUUUUAAAAGUAAUAAGGCCGCUUAAUUAUUUUUGAUGGUUUUAAUAUGUAUUACUAAGAUAGGUAUUACUUA
Long non-coding RNA from Gossypium arboreum, 401 nucleotides. RefSeq lists it as uncharacterized. Lineage: Eukaryota; Viridiplantae; Streptophyta; Magnoliopsida; Malvales; Malvaceae. The transcript has 3 exons. The record is from RefSeq and is a predicted model, not a curated record.